GGUUGUAGCUCAGUGGUAGAGCACUUGCCUAGCAUGUGUGAGGCCCUGGGUUGGAUCCCCAGCACUA
This 67-nucleotide transfer RNA is filed under the name Marmota monax (woodchuck). Its description in RNAcentral is "tRNA.Ala". It matches the Rfam family "tRNA", at positions 6 to 65 of the family's 71-position model. From Rfam's summary of the family: Transfer RNA (tRNA) molecules are approximately 80 nucleotides in length. Their secondary structure includes four short double-helical elements and three loops (D, anti-codon, and T loops). Lineage: Eukaryota; Metazoa; Chordata; Mammalia; Rodentia; Sciuridae. The record is from RNAcentral.